Eriocheir sinensis (Chinese mitten crab) is the source of this 777-nucleotide long non-coding RNA. RefSeq lists it as uncharacterized. The transcript has 4 exons. The record is from RefSeq and is a predicted model, not a curated record. Lineage: Eukaryota; Metazoa; Arthropoda; Malacostraca; Decapoda; Varunidae.
GGCUGAAUUCCAUGGGCUGAAUCCCGUGUGGGCUGAAUUCCACGUCCACCCGGCUGGCGUCAUCAUGCCCAAAAGAAGAAGAAGAAGAAGAGUAGGUCCACGGGCCGGCCUGCGUAGCGCCAUAAACCUUACUUUUUCUCGUGUUUUCCUUCAAACUACAAUGACGAGAAGAUCCACAGCCUGUGAGAAGAAGGUGGAGAGGACAGUGGCGGCCAGGGAAAGGAAGAAACACCGCAGAGAAGCCUUCAUGUGACGAAAGUGCCCUUCCACUACGCCACCACCACAACCACUACCACAACCAGUACCACCACAACCACAACCAGUACCACCACAACCACCACCACCAAAUCACCACACUAAGCGUGAAGAUGUCAGGUCGCAACGCGUUGGUCCAUCGGAGCACCUUCCAGAACGCCAACCAGGUGGUGGAGUUGACCACACGCACCAUUCCCAAGGCUCAACACCACCACCACCACCACCAGCGAGGACAUCAACACCAUUCACCACCACCAUUGAGGCCAGAUCACACCACCACCACCACCAACACCAGGACUGGCUACAGUGAAGGUCGUGGCAGCCAAGCAGAGAGUGUACUGAAACUCCUGCUGUGAGCUACUCGAUCCUGAGGGCCAAGACCUGCACCCUCACCACCCCUGUAAAGGAUGCCCAUCUGACCCAACCCUCCACGUGUGCCCCUGAGAGCUCCCUGCAGCACAGGAGUCUCUUCUUGGACGGCUCAGAGGCACAGAAGAUGUAGCCAGACUUGCCGGCCAAACC